This 301-nucleotide ribosomal RNA is filed under the name uncultured bacterium. Its description in RNAcentral is "partial 16S ribosomal RNA". It matches the Rfam family "Bacterial small subunit ribosomal RNA", at positions 509 to 807 of the family's 1533-position model. The record is from RNAcentral.
CAGCAGCCGCGGUAAUACGUAGGGUGCGAGCGUUAAUCGGAAUUACUGGGCGUAAAGCGUGCGCAGGCGGUUAUAUAAGACAGAUGUGAAAUCCCCGGGCUCAACCUGGGACCUGCAUUUGUGACUGUAUAGCUAGAGUACGGUAGAGGGGGAUGGAAUUCCGCGUGUAGCAGUGAAAUGCGUAGAUAAGCGGAGGAACACCGAUGGCGAAGGCAAUCCCCUGGACCUGUACUGACGCUCAUGCACGAAAGCGUGGGGAGCAAACAGGAUUAGAUACCCGGGUAGUCCCUGUCUCUUAUAC